Dermacentor silvarum is the source of this 806-nucleotide long non-coding RNA. RefSeq lists it as uncharacterized. The record is from RefSeq and is a predicted model, not a curated record. The transcript has 3 exons. NCBI's taxonomy places the organism in Eukaryota, Metazoa, Arthropoda, Arachnida, Ixodida, Ixodidae.
CUUAGCGCCGCGACGCCUUACCUGCUAAGCUACCAAGGCGGGAUAAACGUAAUGCCAGUUAACGCGAGACAAGCUAUGGUAAUGCAUACUUUAUGUAUAGUGGGCUGGAUGUUCAGUACCGUGCACAUUUAUCGUGCAAGUCACACUGCGGUUAAUGCAGUGGUUUACCAGAGAGUUGUCGCUAACACCUAAACUGUGCGUACCCUUGUUUCAGACUUGGAGAAUGCUGCACACACGUGGCUGCCCUAUUAUUCAACAUAGAAGCAGCCAUAAAAUAUGGGCUGAAUGACCCGUCUCCAACUGAGACAGCGUGCAGGUGGUCUGAGGUAUCCAGGAAAUCUAUGGUGGCACCAGUCAGCGAGAUAAAUUUUUUCAAGGCAAAGCCUGGACAACAAGUUCCUGAACCUGCCCCAAGGCAACAAGGGUCUAUUCCAACAUGGAGCUCUGAUAAAAUACACAGCUUCUUGCAGCACGUCAAGACAUUUGCCCCCAGCACACUUGUGUUGAGUUGCAUAACAGACAGUGAAAGUACGGAUUCUUCUCCUGAGACUGCUGCAGAAGAAAGGAAGACCAACCACCAGCACUAUUCAUCGCGAUCAGCAAUAGAUGACAUUUACAGCAAUAUUGACUUGAAUACUGCAAAAAAUGUUCAGCUCAGUAACGAAUGCUGUGAAGAAAUUGAGCAGUCGACCCGUGGGCAAUCACGGACACUUAGAUGGACCCACGAACGCAAAGGUAGAAUAACGGCCUCAGUUUUACAUCGUGUGCUAGUUUGUCGAAGUGGGGUCAAUGGCAUUGUGGCUGAA